Long non-coding RNA from Lycium barbarum (goji berry), 1419 nucleotides. RefSeq lists it as uncharacterized. The transcript is spliced from 3 exons. The record is from RefSeq and is a predicted model, not a curated record. NCBI's taxonomy places the organism in Eukaryota, Viridiplantae, Streptophyta, Magnoliopsida, Solanales, Solanaceae.
GGCCAAGUCUUCAUAGCUUCAAUUUUCUGGGUAUCAACUCGAAUGCCAUCAGCUGAAAUAAUAUGGCCCAGAAAAGUCACAGAAUUUAGCCAAAACUCGCAUUUUGAGAAUUUUGCAUACAAUUCUCGAGUUCGAAGAAUUCCCAGGACAAUACGUAAAUGGUCUGCAUGAUCUGAUUCUGUGCGAGAGUAUACCAGAAUAUCAUCAAUGAACACUAUCACGACUAGAUCCAAAAGAGGCCUCAAUGCAUUAUUCAUCAAAUUCAUAAAUACUGCUGAUGUGCCGUGAAUUUCGGCACAUUUUAUGCCUUUGUCACUAGAAGUGUUGCUUGUUUUUAAAUGUUUUUACAUCGUUUCUGUUAUACCCCGUACAUUUAUACGUCGAACUAUUCGCAAGAAAAUCGACUCGAGUUAAAGACGGAAUCACUUUCGGACACAAAAUAGAAAUCUUUAAUUUUCAAUUAUAAUUAAAACAUAAAUUGUUUAUAAAUUUUAUUUAGUGUAAAAAAAAUAUUGGAGAUUGGUGAUUAAUUAAUUGUGAUUAGAUUUUUAAGUGGGAAUUAGUUAUUAAUUAAAAGUAAUUAAGUUAAUUAAUUAUAUCAUCUAGUGGGCCCCACCUGAUUUUUAAAUUAAAAAAAAUAAUUAAAAAAAAAACAAAAAACAAAACAGAAAAUGGUGAGUCACAAGGAGAUGGCAACGUGUCAACUUAAAGGGAACCAUAUAAAUGGUUGAUUAUUGAAUCAACAAAACAUUUCAUUCUAAGAAUAGAAAGUUUAAAAAAAGAAAGAAAGAAUAAAACACCCAUGGCUGCUCGGCCAGCCAUGGUGAUUGAAAAAAAAAUGUGUGUUUUGUUGCUAUUUUGAUCAUGAUUCAAGUAAAUUGCAAGUUCAAGGGGGUGAUAGCAACGUUGGAUAUUGAAUCGGGGAAGAAGAAAUUGCGAAAUUGGAGCAAUUAAGGGCAGAAAUUCGUCCGAGAAAAUUAAGGCUAAAAGAGCGUCGAGACGAACGGGUUACGAAUAGCCGCUAACAGGUACAGAUAGUCGAUUUGGUGACCCUUCAGCAUAGGACUUCUACUCAGCUGUUUUGGAGAGCUCCGUUGUUCCGGAGUCUAGAAUUUUGGUUCAGAUCUUAUAAUGUAUAUGUAUAUGUUUAUCCAGGGGUACGGCGGGGCCCUGUCCCGUCAUAUUUUGUUUUCGCUACUCUUAAAGGUCUGUAGACAUAUGUGUGGGUUGUGUAUGGGUUCUGUUCAGCUGUGUCUAUACGAUGUGCCGUGGUAUGAUGUUCGUCUCUAGUAGCAGCCUUGUCGGCUUGCAUACGGUAUUGAUAUGUGAUGGCAGCCUUGUCGGCUUGCGUAUUAUUUCAUGAUAUGAUUAGUUGUGCCUCCUCAGGAGACCGUUGAUCUGGAAGUAUAUAUAUAUAUA